This 253-nucleotide ribosomal RNA is filed under the name uncultured bacterium. Its description in RNAcentral is "partial 16S ribosomal RNA". It matches the Rfam family "Bacterial small subunit ribosomal RNA", at positions 524 to 776 of the family's 1533-position model. The record is from RNAcentral.
UACGUAGGUGACAAGCGUUGUCCGGAUUUACUGGGCGUAAAGAGCGCGCAGGCGGUCGAUCAAGUCGAGUGUGAAAGCCCCCGGCUCAACUGGGGAGGGUCAUUCGAUACUGAUCGACUCGAAGGCAGGAGAGGGUAGUGGAAUUCCCGGUGUAGUGGUGAAAUGCGUAGAUAUCGGGAGGAACACCCAGGGGGAAACCAGCCGGCUGGGGACGUGCUGACGCUCAGGGGCGAAAGCGUGGGGAGCGAACCGG